RNAcentral lists this ribosomal RNA (253 nucleotides) under uncultured bacterium. RNAcentral describes it as "partial 16S ribosomal RNA". It matches the Rfam family "Bacterial small subunit ribosomal RNA", at positions 524 to 776 of the family's 1533-position model. The record is from RNAcentral.
UACGGAGGGGGCUAGCGUUGUUCGGAAUUACUGGGCGUAAAGCGCGCGUAGGCGGACCUGCAAGUCGGGGUUGAAAGCCCGAGGCUCAACCUCGGAACUGCCUUCGAUACUGCGGGUCUCGAGUCCGGGAGAGGUGAGUGGAAUUCCUAGUGUAGAGGUGAAAUUCGUAGUUAUUAGGAAGAACACCAGUGGCGAAGGCGGCUCACUGGACCGGUACUGACGCUGAGGCGCGAAGGCGUUGGGAGCAAACAGG